RNAcentral lists this long non-coding RNA (3339 nucleotides) under Daucus carota (carrot). RNAcentral describes it as "long non-coding RNA (DCAR_LNC003996)". The record is from RNAcentral. Lineage: Eukaryota; Viridiplantae; Streptophyta; Magnoliopsida; Apiales; Apiaceae.
UUCACCAGUUUCUCUGCACGAAUACCGAGAGAAACCGAGCGGCGUUCUUCGUGUUCUUCGUAAUCAAACGAGGAUUUGAAGGCGUUAUUGGAAUCCGAUGGAGGCGUAUGAAUAGUCAAAACGAAGCUAUCGACGCGUAGAAUCAAGUUUAUGCAUCCUUACACCUGCAGAUUUAACAGGUUAUUUUAUAUUAAUUUUUGAAAAUUCGAAUUUAUAUGAUUUCACGUAUGAAUUUUUGAAAACGUGAUUGUUUGAUUGAUUUGAUGAUUCUAUGAUGUAGAGCGUGUUUUUCUCGUCGUUUUGAUAUAUUGUAUGUCAAAAACGGAGUCCGGAAACAUGUUUAAAAUGAGGUUUAAUCUUCGAAAUUCAUGUUCUUGGUGUUCUUGAGUUUAUAGCCGGAAAAUUUUGAUUUUUGGUCGGUAUUUUGAUUGGUUAAGUCUGGGUUUAAUUGGAUAGUACCAUUGGAUAGCUUGUGUGAUUCUCAAUCGAUCCCCGUAUUCAGUUUUUAGGUUGGUAGUUUGUGAAGCCUCGCCGGAGUUUAAACUCCACGGCGGCGGCGCAAGUUUGGCUGGGAUUUCCGGCCAAACUACUGCGUUCUUGAAUAAACUAGACUCGUGGUUGAGUUCCUGAUAGUAUGUAGGCUAUAUCUGCACGUUUUGGUGAAGUUUGGAGCUUUGUAGCCGUUUCACGGCGAAAAUCCGGCGAAGGCUCGUCGGAGAUGGUGACCGGGGGUCAAAUUACAAUUUGAUCCCCAAACUUAUUAAAAUGAUACGGUGUGAACCCUGAAGUUUAUAAGUUUUAAUUCUGCCCCUAAUAGUUUACAAAGUUUGCACAGUGAACCUUGGAGUUUUAAAUCUUUUCAAAAACAUUUUAUUAUUUAUUUUAAUCUCGAAAAUUAUUGAUUUUAAAUUCAAAAAUGCUUUUUAAAUAUUUGUUUAUUCAAAAAUAAAUCUAAAUUAGUUUAUUAAUUAAUUUUAAUUAGUAAUUAAUUAUUUUAAUUGAUCAAUUAAUUUAAAUAUUAAUUGAUUAAUUAAUUUAAUUAAUUAUUAAUUGAUUUUAAUUGAUUAAUUAAUUGGAUUUAAUUAUUCUUUUUGAUUUAAAAAUUCCGAAAAAUAGUUUCGAGCUUUAAAAUAUUUUUCCAAAUUAUUUUCAAGGCUCGAUAAUUGUUUAUGAAUGAUUUCAAGUCCAAUUUCAAGUAUUUGGGACUUGAUUAUUUAUCCAAAAAGUGAUUCUUUUAUCGAUUUUAAUUCCGAAAAAUGUUUAAAAAUUCCAGAAAAUUCCCGAAAAAUCAUUUUUAACCCAAGAGUUGAUUUGAUAUCAAUUGGGGUGGGAAACCUUAUGUGUAAUGUGUUGUCUGCUAUCUGUUUGAUGUGUUAUGUGCCGAUAGAGGAGUUAGAAAACGGUUUUGAUCAUAACUUUUGAUCCGUAAGUCGGAAUCAAGUGAAACGAAAGAGAGACAGAAGCUUAUAAAGUCUAGUUUGAUAUGACAUAAUAUUAUGAUGGAGUCGAGAAUCUGAAUAAUUUUUGUUAAAUGUGCAAAAUGUGAUUAUAUGUUAUUUGGUUGCUAUUAACUAAUGACUACGUGAUAUACAUGUUUAUUCAUGAUAGUAUACACGUGUGAUAAAUGAUUUGGAUGACAUAGUGUCGUGAGUUGAUUGAUAUUGGAUAAGAAUAUAUGGAUUAUAGUGAUUGGAUCUUGUUGGUUGAUUGUUGAUUGAGAUAGGAUAACAGGUGGAUAGUCUAAUAAAUAGACGAGACGAUGUCGGAUUUUCGAUAGGAUUCAUAUGAUAAGUGAUUGGUAAUAUGUUAUGUGGAAUAUGACUUGACUAUAUGGUAGAGUCAAAGCAUGAUUACGUGUUAAGUGAUAUGUGAUAAGUUUAAAGGGGUAUAUAAGUGGGUAUCGAUAUACGUGAUAUGUAUAUGCGAUAUAUUGUUUAGUGACUAUAGUAUUAUCUUAUUCUCGUAAAGGAUUUGGACGAGACGUGUACGCUCGAAGACGUCAGAGAGUUGGAAUGGUAUUGCAAAGCGAAUAAGGGAUGAAUCGAGUAAGCGAAGCGAUGUGGCGAAUAGAGUAUAGCUAGAGAUGGUCUAGAGAUUACGAGAUGCAUAGAUUGUGAAAGUUGAAAGAUGAGAUAGAGAUGUGAGACUGGAGUCAGAUUUAAGGCAAGUAUCCUAAACCUUUCUCUUGGAUAUAUUGCAAAUAUUCUGAUCCAUUCCUUUGGUAUAUGUUUCAAAUAUUCAUACCUUUCUUUGCUACAUUUAAAAGUGCGAGUAUUCUGAUCCAUUCUUUCCAAUCCUCAAGUUUCUAAAGAAUUUCAGCUUUAUAAAUCAAUUCGAAGUUCAUAUUGUCAUUGAAGCAUGUGUUGCUCAGUGAUAGUUAGAGCUUUGAAUGAAUUGGGAUCUUCUUGAUUAUUCAACCCGCCAUUGUCAUGCUGGUUUAGCAGGCUAAAUUCAGUUGCUUAGCCGAUAAUGGAGGAUACUGAAUAGUUGAGGAUUUCCUGAACUGUGAUUUAUGAAAUGAUGGAUCAUGAUUUAUGAAUAGUUGAUUAUCAAAGUUUGAUUUGGAAUUAUUCUAUCAUCGAUAUUGAUUGUGUUUAUGUUCUGUUGUUAUAUGUUGACCUGUUAUUGAAUUAUAGAAUUGGAUUGUUGUUUUUAUAAAAAUAUGCGGACCAGAUGAGUGGUCAUGUUAGGCCAAUGAGUGCCUUGGAUCCAGUGACAGAGCAUGGCGGGGCCUGCUCGGGGGUAGGUAUGACUGAUCAGCAUCCUAACCUUGGUUUUAAUUAAAAUGUGAUAGUCCAAUUCGAUAAUUCUCUUGGAAAGAUUGAAUUACUCCAGUAUUCCAUUGAUGCAAGGUAUUGUGAAUCAUUCUAUACAAUACCUUAAUCUUAUGAAUUUAUGUCGAAUCUUUUACUAAAGUAUCUUGAGCCUUUGAACUUCUAUCAUAUUGAUUCAGAAUUGUUAUUGUUUAUUAUUACUUGCUGAGCAUUGUUGCUCACCCUUGCUAUUCUCUUUUAACCAUUUCAGAAAGGAUUAAAGAUGAAUGGCUAGACUAUGAUUGCGAGUAAGGCUAAGGCUAGGCGAGGAGUCAGAGGUGUUAAGGAUCCAGUGGUUGAGGAGUGUGCAGGAAGAUUGAUAAGGUUGGUGCUAGCUCGAGUUGUGCUAUUGAGAUUCAGAUGUAAGUGAUAGCUGGAAUAGAUUGAUAGUGAUUCUUCUUAUCGAAGAUGAUCUGAUUUGGUAAGAGAUGUUGUGUAAUAAUAGUGGUUGAUUCUAAUUUCAAUACUGUAACCUGGAUGCGAUCCUGUUGUUUUUGGGGGUUAAGAUGUUCUCUUUCAAAUCUUU